AAAUGACCUCAAAUCAGGUAAGAAUACCCGCUGAACUUAAGCAUAUCAAUAAGCGGAGGAAAAGAAAAUAACAAUGAUUCCCUUAGUAACGGCGAGUGAAGGGGGAAAAGCUCAAAUUUUAAAUCUGCUAGGUUUUACCUGUCAGAAUUGUAAUUUGAAGAAGCGUUUUCCGCGUCUCGGUUGGCCCAAAUCCNUUGGGAUAAGGUAUCAUGGAGGGUGAGAAUCCCGUUCGGUUGACCUUAUGACGCACUACGAUACGCUUUCUAAGAGUCGAGUUGUUUGGGAUUGCAGCUCAAAAUGGGAGGUAAAUUUCUCCUAAGGCUAAAUAUUGGCGAGAGACCGAUAGCGAACAAGUACCGUGAGGGAAAGAUGAAAAGAACUUUGAAAAGAGAGUAAAAUAGUACGUGAAAUUGUUGAAAGGGAAACGAUUGAAGUCAGUCGUACCGACGAGAAAUCAGCUUAUCGUGUGUAAACUUGUGGGCGUGCGUGAGUUUCGGCCUCGCUGUUUGCAUGUUUGUGCUCUUUGGGUGUACUUUUUCGUAUGGUAGGCCAACAUCAGUUUCGAUUACUAUAAAAUGACUGGCGGAAUGUAGCUUCGAUUUCGGUUGAAGUGUUAUAGCCUCUGGUAGAUGUGGUGAUUGAGACUGAGGAUUGCAACGAAUAUCCUUUGGGCUAUCCGUCUGGCCUCUGAAAGUUGCUUGGGUGCUGAAAGCUUGCUUAUGGUUAUCUAAGUUAACGGUCAAUAGGUUAGAACGUGAUUACAUUCGUUAAGGAUGUUGGCGUAAUGGCUUUAAACGACCCGUCUUGAAACACGGACCAAGGAGUCUAACAUAUAUGCGAGUGU
Molecule: ribosomal RNA, 844 nt
Filed under: uncultured Glomeromycotina
Lineage: Eukaryota; Fungi; Glomeromycota
Description: eukaryotic LSU rRNA
Rfam family: Eukaryotic large subunit ribosomal RNA
Source: RNAcentral